GUUCAAAACACCACUGUUUUUUCCUUUCCCAGCUCUGCCCUAGUCUUUUUCAUUCUACAAAAUGUGUUCUAAUUCUACAAACAGAGAGGAAACUGUUGUUUCUUGAACACCUGCGUUGAGUUGAGCCGGUCUGCUGCCCUUGCCCUAUUACCUAAUGCAUUCCUCAACCCUUUAUGUCUCUCCCAUUUUGGAGACUGCACACUGAGGCUCAAUAGGUUAGAUAAUUGCCCAAGCUCCAACAUCUGCGAAACAAAGGGGAUGGGAGUGACAAAGUCCCCCUGACCCCAAAGCACAGGCUAGGUGUUUUGCUGCGGGGCUGCACAGCCAGCUUUAUGCCGCACGGUGGCGCUGCGGCCAUGUCCCGGAAGGUUCCUCUGCGCGCUGGAGGUGGGUAGGGGAGUCCCCAGCCUGCAGGGGCGCCUCUCUAUGGCUUUAACAGCGGUCCAAGUUAUCUCUCCUGGAAAAAGGAGUUGCUCCCCCAAGGUGGGCGCCGGUGGGAGGGGCCGGGCAGAGCAGAGACCCUUUCUUUCCUACAGGCUGGCUGAGCCUGGGCUAGAAGAACCUGGAACCAGAGUUUGGAGUCCUGGGUGCCCCAGCAAGAGAAAAGAGGGUGACCACAGGACAUCUUCGCUGAGGCCACAGGAAAAAACGGUCCCCAUGGGCACCAGACUGCAUUUACUGUUUGGAAAAAUGGCUCCUUUGGAAGCUGGCUGUUUCAUCACCUGCUUUGUCUGUAAGGACUGAUCCCUGGCUUCGCCCAGGGUGCAGCCUUUGGAGAUUCUCAUCAGAAGCAGCCUGGCCAUCCACAAACCGUUAAAUCUUUUUACCAGUCCACACUGUGAUGAGCUAGGCAUCAGCUGCCUGACCAUGGACUUGGCCUGCAGUAGCAGUAUCAGAAUAUAAAACUGUGACAGAACUCUAGGACCAUGGCUUUGCUCUGCUCUUCAGUGCUUCCUACAGUCAAGCCAUUCUCAGCCCUUUAUGGAGGAGUUCACUGAAGCCCCUCAGAGAGCAGGUGGUGAUGGGGAAGAGGUAGAUGAAGGAGACCACAGGGGGCUUUAGAAACAGGGGUGCUUGUCAGUGGGUCAGUGAAGCAAGAAGCAGAGGAUGUGGGCUGCUGAGGACACUUAGUCAACUUGCAGUUCUGCCUUUUCCCUGUCUGUGAGCUGAGGGUUGUGGCAGAACUUUUUUUUUUUUUCUGGUAUUAAAUUUUCAUUCAUUAACUGUCCACACAAAAUCAAUUAAACUAUUUUGAUUUAUUUUUAAAAUGUCAUU
This 1275-nucleotide long non-coding RNA is filed under the name Marmota monax (woodchuck). Lineage: Eukaryota; Metazoa; Chordata; Mammalia; Rodentia; Sciuridae. The record is from RNAcentral.